GUACCUAUAGCUCAGCUGGUUAGAGUAUUGGUUUGUGGUACCGAGGGUCGUGGGUUCGAGCCCCACUAGGUACCCCA
RNAcentral lists this transfer RNA (77 nucleotides) under Aureispira sp. RNAcentral describes it as "tRNA-His". It matches the Rfam family "tRNA". From Rfam's summary of the family: Transfer RNA (tRNA) molecules are approximately 80 nucleotides in length. Their secondary structure includes four short double-helical elements and three loops (D, anti-codon, and T loops). The record is from RNAcentral. Lineage: Bacteria; Pseudomonadati; Bacteroidota; Saprospiria; Saprospirales; Saprospiraceae.